This 314-nucleotide ribosomal RNA is filed under the name Candona sp. 54 IK-2020. RNAcentral describes it as "partial large subunit ribosomal RNA". The record is from RNAcentral. Lineage: Eukaryota; Metazoa; Arthropoda; Ostracoda; Podocopida; Candonidae.
CUUUUAAUUGGGGGCUGGGAUGAAAGGUUUUAUGGGGAAUAGCUGUCUUAGAAUGAAUAAAUUGAAUUUAAGUCCUGCAUAAAAACUUGCAGGUGCUCUUAAGGGACGAGAAGACCCUGUGGAUUUUUAUUUGUUAAAAAAUAAAUUUUAUAAUAUUUUAUUUUUUAUUCAAAUUUGGUUGGGAUGACGGUAAAAUUAACUUUAUUGAAAAGAUAUAGUAUAGAUCCUUUUUAAGGAAGAAAGAACAAAUUACCCCAGGGAUAACAGCGUGAUACUUUUGGACAGGACAAAUGGAUAAAAGUGUUUGCGACCUC